UGUUGUCGUUACUUCCUACCCCAGGUAUGCGUUCAUGCUGUGUUGUGUUGUUAUUGUGUUGUUGUUGUUGUGUUGUUGUCGUUACUUCCUACCCCAGGUAUGCGUUCAUGCUGUGUUGUGUUGUUAUUGUGUUGUUGUUGUUGUGUUGUUGUCGUUACUUCCUACUCCAGGUAUGUGUUCAUGCUGUGUUGUGUUGUUGUUGUGUUGUUGUUGUGUUGUUGUCGUUACUUCCUACCCCAGGUAUGCGUUCAUGCUGUGUAGUGCUGUUGUUGUGUUGUUAUUGUGUUGUUGUUGUGUUGUUGUCGUUACUUCCUACCCCAGGUAUGCGUUCAUGCUGUGUAGUGCUGUUGUUGUGUUGUUAUUGUGUUGUUGUUGUGUUGUUGUCGUUACUUCCUACUCCAGGUAUGCGUUCAUGCUGUGUAGUGUUGUUAUUGUGUUGUUGUUGUUGUGUUGUUGUCGUUACUUCCUACCCCAGGUAUGUGUUCAUGCUGUGUUGUGUUGUUGUUGUGUUGUU
Acanthochromis polyacanthus (spiny chromis) is the source of this 514-nucleotide long non-coding RNA. RefSeq lists it as uncharacterized. The transcript has 4 exons. The record is from RefSeq and is a predicted model, not a curated record. Lineage: Eukaryota; Metazoa; Chordata; Actinopteri; Pomacentridae.